CCUACGGGUGGCAGCAGUAGGGAAUAUUGCUCAAUGGAGGAAACUCUGAAGCAGCAACGCCGCGUGGAGGAUGAAGGUUUUCGGAUUGUAAACUUCUUUUGUUAGAGAUGAUAACGACGGUAUCUAACGAAUAAGCACCGGCUAACUCCGUGACAGCAGCCGCGGUAAUACGGAGGGUGCAAGCGUUACUCGGAAUCACUGGGCGUAAAGAGCGCGUAGGCGGGAUAGCAAGUCAGAUGUGAAAUCCUAUGGCUUAACCAUAGAACUGCAUUUGAAACUGUUAUUCUAGAGUAUGGGAGAGGUAGGUGGAAUUCUUGGUGUAGGGGUAAAAUGCGUAGAGAUCAAGAGGAAUACUCAUUGCGAAGGCGACCUGCUAGAACAUAACUGACGCUGAUGCGCGAAAGCGUGGGGAGCAAACAGGAUUAGAUACCCCUGUAGUC
This 440-nucleotide ribosomal RNA is filed under the name uncultured bacterium. RNAcentral's name for it is "partial 16S ribosomal RNA". It matches the Rfam family "Bacterial small subunit ribosomal RNA", at positions 338 to 795 of the family's 1533-position model. The record is from RNAcentral.